RNAcentral lists this ribosomal RNA (497 nucleotides) under uncultured bacterium. Its description in RNAcentral is "partial 16S ribosomal RNA". It matches the Rfam family "Bacterial small subunit ribosomal RNA", at positions 28 to 507 of the family's 1533-position model. The record is from RNAcentral.
GAUGAACGCUGGCGGCGUGCCUAAUACAUGCAAGUCGAGCGAACGGACGAGAAGCUUGCUUUUCUGAUGUUAGCGGCGGACGGGUGAGUAACACGUGGAUAACCUACCUAUAAGACUGGGAUAACUUCGGGAAACCGGAGCUAAUACCGGAUAAUAUUUUGAACCGCAUGGUUCAAAAGUGAAAGACGGCCUUGCUGUCACUUAUAGAUGGAUCCGCGCUGCAUUAGCUAGUUGGUAAGGUAACGGCUUACCAAGGCAACGAUGCAUAGCCGACCUGAGAGGGUGAUCGGCCACACUGGAACUGAGGCACGGUCCCGACUCCUACGGGGGGAAGCAGCAGGGAAUCUUACGCGAUGGGGGAAUGGCUGAUGGAGCAACGCCGCGUGAGUGAUGAAGGUCUUCGGAUCGUAAAACGCUGUUAUUAGGGAAGAACAUAUGUGUAAGUAACUGUGCACAUCUUGACGGUACCUAAUCAGAAAGCCACGGCUAACUACGUG